RNAcentral lists this ribosomal RNA (479 nucleotides) under uncultured bacterium. RNAcentral's name for it is "bacterial SSU rRNA". It matches the Rfam family "Bacterial small subunit ribosomal RNA", at positions 29 to 496 of the family's 1533-position model. The record is from RNAcentral.
AAUGAACGUUGGCGGCGUGGAUUAGGCAUGCAAGUCGAGCGAGAAUUUGCGAUUGGAAGCUUCGGCCGAAGAAAGUGAAGGAAAGCGGCAAACGGCGUAGUAAGGCGUAGGUACGUACCCUCGGGUCGGGAAUAGCCAUGGGAAACUGUGGGUAAUGCCCGAUAAUCUCUGCGGAGCAAAGGUGUGAUUCCGCCGGAGGAGCGGCUUACGUGAUAUUAGCUAGUUGGUGGGUAAUAGCCUAACCAAGGCAACGAUGUCGUAGGGGGUGUGAGAGCAUCGGCCCCCACGACCGGAACUGAGACACUGUCCGGACACCUACGGGUGGCUGCAGUCGAGAAUCUUCCGCAAUGGGACGAAAGCCUGACGGAGCGACGCCGCGUGGUGGAUGAAGGCCCUUGGGUUGUAAACACCUGUCAGAGGGGAUAGAAAUCAUGGUUGGCAAUCCUUCCAUGUUGACAGAGCCUCAGAGGAAGCACGGG